This 292-nucleotide ribosomal RNA is filed under the name uncultured Comamonadaceae bacterium. Its description in RNAcentral is "partial 16S ribosomal RNA". It matches the Rfam family "Bacterial small subunit ribosomal RNA", at positions 505 to 796 of the family's 1533-position model. The record is from RNAcentral. Lineage: Bacteria; Pseudomonadati; Pseudomonadota; Betaproteobacteria; Burkholderiales; Comamonadaceae.
GUGUCAGCCGCCGCGGUAAUACGUAGGGUGCGAGCGUUAAUCGGAAUUACUGGGCGUAAAGCGUGCGCAGGCGGUUUUGAAAGUCAGAUGUGAAAUCCCCGGGCUCAACCUGGGAACUGCAUUUGUGACUGUAUAGCUAGAGUACGGCAGAGGGGGAUGGAAUUCCGCGUGUAGCAGUGAAAUGCGUAGAUAUGCGGAGGAACACCGAUGGCGAAGGCAAUCCCCUGGGCCUGUACUGACACUCAUGCACGAAAGCGUGGGGAGCAAACAGGAUUAGAAACCCUCGUAGUCC